Molecule: ribosomal RNA, 481 nt
Filed under: uncultured bacterium
Lineage: Bacteria
Description: bacterial SSU rRNA
Rfam family: Bacterial small subunit ribosomal RNA
Source: RNAcentral
GAUGAACGCUGGCGGCGUGCUUAACACAUGCAAGUCGAACGAUUAACCCACCUUCGGGUGGUUAUAGAGUGGCGAACGGGUGAGUAACACGUGACCAACCUGCCCCAGACAUCGGGACAACCAUUGGAAACGAUGGCUAAUACCGAAUACUAUCCCUCUCCCUCAUGGAAGAAGGAUGAAAGCUCAGGCGGUCUGGGAUGGGGUCGCGGCCCAUCAGGUAGUAGGCGGGGUAACGGCCCACCUAGCUUAUGACGGGUAGCCGGACUGAGAGGUCGACCGGCCACAUUGGGACUGAGAUACGGCCCAGACUCCUACGGGAGGCAGCAGUGGGGAAUAUUGCGCAAUGGGGGCAACCCUGACGCAGCAACGCCGCGUGCGGGAUGAAGGCUUUCGGGUUGUAAACCGCUUUCAGCAGGGAUGACUUCGACAGUACCUGCAGAAGAAGCCCCGGCUAACUACGUGCCAGCCGCCGCGGUAACAC